RNAcentral lists this ribosomal RNA (489 nucleotides) under uncultured bacterium. Its description in RNAcentral is "partial 16S ribosomal RNA". It matches the Rfam family "Bacterial small subunit ribosomal RNA", at positions 28 to 506 of the family's 1533-position model. The record is from RNAcentral.
GAUGAACGCUAGCGAUAGGCUUAACACAUGCAAGUCGAGGGGCAGCAUGGUCUUAGCUUGCUAAGACUGAUGGCGACCGGCGCACGGGUGCGUAACGCGUAUGCAACUUGCCUCACAGAGGGGGAUAACCCGUCGAAAGACGGACUAAUACCGCGUACACUUGGGAUAGGGCAUCCUGACCCAAGGAAAUGAAAUUCGCUGUGAGAUAGGCAUGCGUCCCAUUAGCUAGUUGGUGAGGUAACGGCUCACCAAGGCGACGAUGGGUAGGGGAACUGAGAGGUUGACCCCCCCCACUGGAACUGGGACACGGACCAGACUCCGAGGGGGGGCAGCAGUGAGGAAUAUUGGGCAAGGGGCGGGAGCCUAAACCAGCCAAGCCGCGUGAAGGAUGACUGUCUUUUGGAGUUUAAACUUUUUUUAAACGGGAAUAACAAGGGUCACGUGUGGCUCCCUGCAUGUACCGUAAGAAUAAGCAUCGGCUAACUCCGU